GCCCGGAUGGCGGAAUUGGUAGACGCGCAUGUUUGAGGAAUAUGGGGUGCAAGUUCAACUCUUGUUUCGGGCA
Molecule: transfer RNA, 73 nt
Filed under: Bacteroidales bacterium
Lineage: Bacteria; Pseudomonadati; Bacteroidota; Bacteroidia; Bacteroidales
Description: tRNA-Leu
Rfam family: tRNA
About the family: Transfer RNA (tRNA) molecules are approximately 80 nucleotides in length. Their secondary structure includes four short double-helical elements and three loops (D, anti-codon, and T loops).
Source: RNAcentral